UAGUGCCCCUUUUUUUCUGAAUUCCUAGAAUAGCAUUUUGUUUUUGUUUGUUUUUGGAGACAGGAUUUCUUCGUGUAACAACAGCCCCUGACUGUUAUGGAACUCUCUCUGUAUACCAGGCUGGCCUCAAACUCACGGAGAUCCUCUUGCCUCUGGCUCCAAGUGCUGGGAUUAAGGCAUGAGCUACCACCACCAGGUCAGGAAUAGUAUUUUAGGAUGAAAAGAAAAAAAUAGAGAGGCUUACUAGAUUUCAGACAGAAUUUUACCAAAAAGUUGUCAAUAUUUUUCUCCAACAAUACUGAUAUGAUUAUAACCAAGGAUGACUAAUGGUUGAAGACCAUCCUGUUGAAACUGUCCCAUGAUGAACAAGUAUGGGGACUUCUAUAGAGACUUCCUUGUUUUGUAUUUAAUGGUACACUUGAGUUUUUAUGGUCAUAGUAGAAUGGGUUAAGUUAUCAAGAGAUGGGAAUACAGUUUAGCUGCUGGUUGAAGUAUUUAUAUUGCUUUCUAGGAAGUUGGUACCAAAGAAAUGGAAGUAAAUGCACUGAAUAAAAACCAAGAAUGCUCUUUUGAAGUAUUUUGAAGUAUUUGACCGAUUAUAGAAGCAGCCUCCCAGGAAAGAAGGUAAGAACGCAUUUUAAAACUUUUCUUUUACCAUCAUAUCAAUUCAUUCAUCAGGGGAUCAUGAAAUGUGACUGCAAAUGUUUCCCAGCUGCUGAAUAGAAAGAAUGUAUGUUGGAGAAAAAAAAAAAACACUUUUGUUUGGUACAUACAUUUAGCUUUGUACUUAUAGUAUAAAAGAAAAUAAACAAAUGGGGUCUGAGAGUAUCUCUUCUGCUAUCUAUUAUAUUAAAUAAAAAGUAAAAAUAAAAAUACAGUCAAAGUGAAAAUGCUAUUUAAGAAAAAAUUAGCAUUGUUUACUGUCAGUUCUGUCUUUGUUUAUUUGGGGUUCUAAGCAGAUUAAUCUGGAUCAUCUUUUUUAAAAUGAAUGUUUAUUAGUAAUAGUUGUAUGUGAGGGACACAGGUAUAUGUACAGGUAAAAGGAUAACUCUCUCUUUCUACCUUGACUCAUGUGAGCAUACAUGGGUAGAGCUUUACUCACUGAGCCAUCUGGUUGACCCUAGGUAAUCUCUAGAGUCUUUCAACUCAUUAGUUUAUUUUAAUAUAAAUUCAACUUUUCUUUUUGUCUUUAUGCCAUUCCUCAUGUAAUACUUUGAUGUUAUUUACUUAUUACUAUCUCUGGCACCUCAUAUUCUCCAUUUCUGAUAAUAUUAAGAAUACUAUCUUUUGCACUUCUAAGAAGGCUUAAGGUGGCAAGUAACCUUUCUGAGUUUAAGCAGGCCAUGAUAUGUUUCUUCCUGUCUAUGACAUGUUCUCUUGUCUAUCUCCAAUAAAUGUGAAUGAUCUCACUUCCUGCUUUCACAGCUGAGAAGGAGUCACACAAUUCAAAGGAAAAUCAGUUUCCAGUUCUCCGUACUGACAUCAGUAAUUCCCUGCCUCUUUGAGAAUUGGCAGUCGAGGUGUAAGAUUAGUGUUGCUCUCAACCUUGACCAGAGAAACUUUGUUUGAAGUGGGCAGUGGUUUAUGCAGAGACUCACAAUUGAUCAACAUGUAAAAAUAGGUGACUGCUGAGUGCUCAGCCCUACAUGGGACAUCUAUAUACUCCUCUAUUAUAAAGCUCAGGGGACAACUGUAAGAACCUGAAGUUGAGGAUGAUUGCUGUGAGAUGGUGUCAUCUACACAUAAUCUGGAUGUUGCACUCAUGAACUCACUAGAGCUGAAGUUAUAAGCACAAGAACUGUCCAAAACUGAGCCCACCAGCAUUCCAGGAUGGAAGGAAAAGGACACACGAAGCCCCACUCCUAGCUGAGAGACAAAAUAAAGACCAGAGCACUAUGUGUGGGAAUAGAUUCCAAGAAUGCUAGAACAAAUGUGGAAGAAUAUAAACAUUGAUCAAAGUAAUUUAUUUUAAAAGGAAGAAGAGAUCCCAGGGGAGCAAUAUGAAUGGCUGCCUUUCCUUUAAGUUGUGAUGCAUUGAACAACACUGGUGCUUUGUUCCAAGUGCCUGACAUAAGCAUAGGCAUGAUUCAGAAGCAGAAGAUGCUACACUUUGCAUGGCUUACAGUAACUCAAAACGUGAUAAGCAUCCACCCUGGGCCAGAUCAUCUGCUCAGUGAAUUUCAGAAGUGGAGUCCAUUGUAACAGAUGUCAAAGGAGGCCUGGGGAAGAAACGUGCUGUGGUAUGGUUUCAAUUUGAACUUAAAAUACUUAAAAUGCUCCCCAGCGACAUGUGAUUCUCUGCUCUGUAUGCUGUCUACUGUAGAAAUGCCCAUCAGACAGAAAACAAAUUGAGAUAGGCUAAAUAGAGGGUGGUGGUGAGGACUGUAUGAAGAGGGACAGAAGCAGGGUAUAAACACCUCCUAGGAUCAACACUAUUUCAUGAUUAGUGUCAAGAGGUAGUCAACUGACUUCUCCAUGUUCUAUUCAGGGAAAUUGUGGACUUGACAUUUACUAAGUGCUAGUGGGAAGAUGCAGAGUUAGAGAGAGAAUAGCCCAGUGGGUAGAGAUGGAAAACAAGUUGAUCAGGACUGCAGAAUUUGCCAUUGGGUAUCUAAACAAUCUCAAUAGCUAACCAAGAUGGCUGAUAGAGUAAAGCACUUGCCAUGCAAGCAUGAAGACAUGAAUUCUGGUCCCUAGAAUCACAUAAAAGCUGAACACAGCAGCACUUGUAGUUAGAAUCCUAGCUCCCAUCAGGAUAUGAAAGGAGGCAGAGAAAGGAGAAUCUUAGAAGCUUAUAGGCCAGCUGCCCUGGCCUGUGCAGUGUGGAACAGGAAGAGAGACUCUGUCUUCCUCAAGGUAGAAGGUGAGACAUACAUACUAUGGGGUGCUCAUGAUCCCCCACACAUAAAGUUAUACAAGACUAGCUAUGAUCAGUUUCUCAAAGUUCCAGAGAACCAAUUACAUCAGCUGUUCUGUAGCACCCACCAUUGAAGAUUCAGAGAAGAGCAGGAGGGGCAAGGUCCAUUUCCACCUGUCUCCUCACUACCUCAUGUAACCUUAGUUUUACCUCUUCCAUAUAGCCAGUGAUCAAAUGGGAAAGUCAGAACAAGGAGAGUCCAAGACUUAUUUAUUCCGAAAAGAAGAUAGAUGCCAUCUUAUUGGAAAUUAUUUAAAUAGGACACACUGGCAAGUGCCACUUUUCAUUGUUCAUUGAAAAACAUAUCAGAACAAUCAUAUGAAAUAAUCAAAGCUAAGUUUCUUUGGAGAAUUAAAUGUAGCAUGCAUAAAGUUGUGACUUGAUUAUAUAUAAAUGUAAAACAAUAUCUCCAAACUGGUCAGCAGUUAUCUGUAUUAUCAGCAGGAGGUGUACUUGGUUUAUAACUUAGCUGAGUUUUUCUGCAAUUUUCUUCUGGUGAGAGGCUGUGAAGCAGGCUGUGACUGCCAACCUCGACUCUGGAGAGCAGGCAUUAACUAGUGAUAGACAAAGAAUGAAGCAAACACUUUAGAUGUUUGGAUGUGCAUGAGCUCAUUGCAAAAUGAGGUAUUCUUAGACUAUCAGUAAUAUGAGGGUCAGCUGCUUUUUAUGAGAUGGAAGGCCCAUGGAUCUAGGGCUAGGAGGGGAUCUAUGCCAUGCAGUCUGGUGAAACAAAUGGUCUUUAAUAAGAGAGGAAGUCAUGGGUGUCUAGACUUUAACAACACAGGCAUAGAGUCAUUCCAAAAAAAAGAGUUCAACAUUCUGUUUGUUUUUAUCCCUUUGUUCUUAAUGACAAAGAAAGAAGGACAGAAGCACAGAGAUUUCUCACAUCAACAGAGCAGGGGCUGUAUCCUCGAAAUAGGAAAGGUCUGCUUAGGUUUGUCUGUAUUGUUGUAGGCUUCAGAAGUUUCUCUGUAGUAGUUUUCACCACACACCCCACCUGGAGUCCCAUCUCUAUUGACAGGACUUUUGACAUGUCCACAGACAGGAUCCUCUUUUCUGACAAUCAUGACAUGCAUAAAGAG
Peromyscus leucopus (white-footed mouse) is the source of this 3999-nucleotide long non-coding RNA. RefSeq lists it as uncharacterized. Lineage: Eukaryota; Metazoa; Chordata; Mammalia; Rodentia; Cricetidae. The transcript has 6 exons. The record is from RefSeq and is a predicted model, not a curated record.